RNAcentral lists this unclassified non-coding RNA (834 nucleotides) under Hevea brasiliensis (rubber tree). The record is from RNAcentral. Lineage: Eukaryota; Viridiplantae; Streptophyta; Magnoliopsida; Malpighiales; Euphorbiaceae.
GAGGGCGUUGGAGGAGAUAUUAUAUGCUAUGGUAGUACAGAAGUUUGUUGAAGCCGAUGUCUCGCUGGUUCCGGCUUUAUCUCAGCCGGCAGACUCCUCGCUGAGGGUUGACCAGUGGCCAUCCGAGGAGGAGAAGCUCGAGCAGCUCCAUUCGGCUGAGGCGUUUGAGAUGAUCAAGAAUCAUCUCACACUUAUUUUAGGACACCGGCUGGCGGAUUCGAACUCCGUUGCUCCGAUUAGCAAGCUUCGUGUUGGACAAGUGUACGCUGCGUCUGUGAUGUAUGGGUAUUUUCUCAAGAGGGUUGACCAGCGAUUUCAGCUUGAGAAGUCGAUGAAGACGCUCCCGUGGGGGUCGGAUGAGGAGGAGAGUGCUAUCAGGCAGGCGGUUGCUGAUGAACCGCAGCUGUCGGAUCGACUUAGCACUCCCCCUGAGUGGACUCCAUCGGCGGCUACCAUUGGUUCCGCGGUUGAUGACCACGGAAACAGGCAGUCACGGCUGAGGUCUUAUGUGAUGUCGUUUGACAAGGAGACACUGCAUCGGUAUGCUUCGAUACGUUCGAAAGAGGCCUUUAGUAUUAUUGAGAAGCACACAGAGGCUUUGUUUGGUAGGCCGGAGAUUAUGAUCAACCCAGGGGGAGGGAUUGAUUCAUCCAAGGAUGAGAUCAUCAAGAUCAGCUUUGCAGGUCUCAAAAGGCUUAUUUUGGAGGCGGUCACGUUUGGGUCCUUUCUGUGGGAUGUGGAGAGCUAUGUUGACUCCAGAUAUCAUUUUGUUACCAACUAGUUAAUCUGGGGAUUUAGAGGAGUGCAGAUUGCAGCUAGGGCUGGGUUUGAGUA